AUGACCCUUGACAGAGCGGUCCACAGAUGGGGAUCAGGAAUCAGGGCAAUGGAACAUAUGCUUGUCCGGGCUCUCCGAUUUGUUGAAGACACAACUCCUGGGUCCUUCGGGGUAUGGGGCAUGGGCGGUGUGGGCAAGACCACCCUUCUGGAGCUUGUGCGUGAUUCUGGCUGGGAGUCCUUCGACCAUAUUGUUUUUGUGAAGGUUGGCAAACAGUACCAUGUCCAUAAGGUGCAACAGUGCAUUGCAAACAAUGUCGGAGCGUCAUUGUCCUCCGAAUCCAGUAUGCAACACUCUGCUGACACCAUUUAUAAUCAUCUGAGAGACAAAAACUUCUUGUUGCUGCUGGAUGACCUAUGGAAACGCCUUGACUUGCAAGCAAUCGGCAUCCCACCAAUUACUGGGGAACCGGGGCGGCAUCGUAAAGUUAUAGUAACAUCAAGAAGAAACACCGUAUGCGCCAAUAUGAGAUGCCAAGAAAACAACAUCAUAGCUGCAGGGUGCUUGAACAAACAAGAUGCGUUGCUACUCUUCCUGGAUAAAGUCGGGAACCGCGCCAUCCAAGCCCACUCUCGGAUUCCCAGCCUGGCUAAGGAGGUGGCAGCGCAGUGUGGUGGCUUACCACUAGUUCUGUGCGUCGUCGGUUCAGCUAUGUCAGCGAAGGAAGAUCCUGGGCUAUGGCUGAAUGCAAUAAACAGAUUGAAGAAGUCAAAGGUCCACAAUAACCUCGAUACAGAUGAAGAGGUAUACCAGUGUCUAAAAUACAGUUUUGACAAUCUGGCAAAUGAUGGACUGCGAGGCUGUCUACUAUUGUGCUCUUUGUGGGCUCAAAACGAGAGCAUCCCUAAGGAGCAGCUUAUCCAAUGGUGUAUUGGGCUUGGUUUUUCAGAAGCUUCUGAUGGUUUUGAAGGAGGGGAAGAGAUGAUCCAUUGUCUGCUGGAUGCGUCGCUCUUGGAGAAGAAAGGAAGCAAGGUGGUUGAGAUGCACGACGUCAUCCGUGACAUGGCACUGUGGAUUUUGGAAGCUGACAGCAGGGAACAAGCACCAAUGAGAGAUGAGAGGUGGAGCGUGCUGAAGCAAGUAUGGAUCGAGGAGACAGAACGGCCUAUGGGGAAUAGCAACAUGUGGCCCAUAUGUGAGAGGAAGCUAGCACGGAUGAAGGGCAUCGAGAAGAACUGGCACACAUUGUCUACCAAUCAUGCAUGGCCUGCCAAGAAAGAUUGGCCCAAGCUCGAGAUGCUGGUAAAGCGGAAGGAUUGCUUAUCUUCACUACCAAGCAUCUCUGAUUUCAAAGCUUUGACCUUUUUAGAUUUGGGUUCCCAAUUUAGAUUGGAGGAAUUUCCAAAGGAGAUAUGUGAGUUGAUCGAGCUAGAAUACCUCAACAUUGUGGGAAGUGGGAUGUUUGCGCUGCCGAUGGAGCUCGGGAAGCUGUCAAAGCUCAAGCAUUUGCAUCUAAGGCAAGCUUGGAACCUUCGAGCAAUACCAAGAGGAUUAUUCUCAGGACUUCAGAACAUUCAAGUGGUGGACCUUUUCUGUGACAGUUCGGAGCGUCCUUACCGUCCAAAGUCUGAUGCUGUUUCCUUUUCUCCUCUUCUACUAGCAUUGGCAGACCCAGAAAUGGACAACUUGCAAAUUCUUGGGAUUUGCCUGCAGGGACAGAGUGCUAAUAUCGAGAUCCUAAAGAAGAUGAAGAGGGUGCGUGUACAGUCACUUUGCUUGCUUAAUCCAUUUUUCUGCAGUGAGCACCAGCAGCCCCAGGCAAAAAACUGCAACGUAAUGAAUUUGAAGCUGCUCGGCGAUCUAGACAGCCUAAAGGAGCUGGCCAUUUCUAGCUCUGACAGUUUGCGGGAGGUUGCCGCUGAAUGGGAUCCCACGCAGUCUCCUAGUAAAGAUGUGCUACUCCCAAACCUCAACCAUCUCUGUUUGGAAAACCUCAGUACACUGGAGAAAGUAAUAUGGAGGAAUACAGGAAAUCACCUUCGAGAGGUAUAUAUUAUCAAAUGUGGAAGAAUAAAGCAUGCUACAUGGGUACUGCAGCUUAAAUUCCUCGAACUUCUGGAUAUUCGUGGUUGCACACGACUUGAACUCCUGGUUGAUAUAUCAGAGCUGUGGCCUGAAGAAAUUGCAAGUAAUCCACCCAGGGUGAUUUUUCCACAACUUAAAAGUAUCACUUUAAUUCACCUUCCAGAGUUAUCUACCAUCUGUGUGUUGCCUUGCGAUUUUGAGAAGCUGGCCAGGCUUUCAGUUUCUUCAUGUAGUAAGCUGACAGCCAUUUCUACUCACCGUCCUGUCAAUGCGGCCAGACCCGCCCUUCUUACAGUGGGUGAAGAUGAAUGGUUUGCUCGAUUGGAACACAAUCCCCACAUUCGGCGUACCUCUCGCGCAUUCAUAGCAGAGUUUUUUGAGCCUAUGAUUUGUCAUUUCGGGAAGUCUGUCCUGCGUUUUAGGUUGAACAAACUGGUUCGACACAGGCGGGCUGAAUUAAUUCCUCGCUCCCUGCCCUCCAAGUCUGAAGUUUUGGAUUGCAGAAUGGCUAGAGAUGGAGGGCCUGAUUCUUUGGAGUUAUUAAUAAGAAACUUUAAGUGGUCAAAGGAAGUUCCCCGCAUUAGUAAUCGGAACAAGGAGUAUAAGAAAAAAAAUAAGCACCCUCAUAGUUGGAGCUCUCAAUGUCACAAUGGUAAGCUUGAAGAAUUUAGGGGGGAGGACGAGGCAAUGAUGAGGGGGGGAGUGCUACCAUUGCUCGACAUGACGGAAGAGCAUGCCAGAAACAGUUUUUGGGUGAGUAUGAGUAGUAAAUCAUCUACCUCGCCAUCUACCAUUGCAUUACAAAAGCGGGACAUGCAGACAUUGCGCAGCAAGUUGGGGAAUGAGAAGAAUGAUGUACUCACCGAGGCCCUAGGAAAUGCAGAGCAUUCUGGUCAAGUUAAAGCCAGGCACAGAAGAUCCAGAGCAGAAUAUGACGGCAUGGAAGUUACCAGUGUUCAAACGGUAAGGGGAGAAUGCAAGGAUCAAGUCAGUAUCUUCAAGGAGGAGCUUAAACGGCGAAGGUUUGUCGGAGAGGAUGUGCAGAAAAUGGAGAUCCAUUUUAGUUGUUCCUCUAUCCGCAAUAUCUCAGCAGAAAUCCCAGCCACAUAUCUUGUCAGCGACACCAAAGUGCCGAAAGCUUUGGGGAAGGUACAUCUACCCAUAGCAGAGGAGACGCUCACUGCCAUUGAUGACGUGGAAGGUGCAAGUGAGCUAUUUGUUGGUGAGCCUCCGGAAUGGCAAACUGACCUAAGAGAUGCCAAAAUCAAAUGUGUCCAAUGGCCCAGGAAGGACACUGACUUUGAUCAAGUCCUACCAACAGCACUGGCAGAAGCAACAACAAUAGCACCGCCACAGCAACGAUCACCAACAAUAAUAUCAUUUGCAGCAGCAACAAGAGCGCAGCAGCCACCACGACCACGACCAGAAACAACAAAAACAAGGACAGUGGCGACACCACCACAUGCAGCAGUAGCAACAACACCAGUUGCAGCAGUGCUAAGCUGGCGACGGCCAGCAGCAGGGUCAACACUAGUGGUAGCAAGGUACAAAACACUAGUGACAACACCAGCGGCAACACUAAUGGCAACAAAGCAUGCAGCACCAGCAAGCCAGAAGAAAAAAGCCCUAGUGAAAAUGGUCAAACCCAACCAAAACAAGACUGUUGACGAGCUCAACGAGGAGCAGCUUCUUUUUGCACUGCAGAUAAGCUUGGUUGCUACUAAUACCCGGAAAUUCAAGAAUGGGGAACCAUUGGUCGAGCUGUCAGAUGAAGAAAUGGAGAAAGAAUUUGGACCUGCUUGUCUGAUUUUCCAUGAUUAUUACAUGGAGAAAUCAAAAAAUCAGGCAAAUGAGCGGUCUUCUAGUUUCACCGCAAAAUUCGAACAUAAACAUUUUCACCAUUCCGAGGAAGACUAUGCAAUUCCUGUGCAAUUCGAGGACUUGUUCGAGCUGUACAACCUUGGUGCCCUUGAAGCGGGUCUCAUGAGAUUGUGGACAUUACACUUGAUUAAGGUCGCAGAAGAUAGUAAAGCACCAGUGGGUUUUCUCGAUGCACACAUGAUAUCAUCAAGGCAAAUCAAUACCAUGCGAGACCAAACCCACCGGUAUAUGGUCUAUGCAUUGAAUGCUCAAUGCACCAAGGAGUACAUCAUUUUUCCCUACAACAAUGGUGCGCAUUGGGUUGCAGUUGUACUUCUGCCAAAAUUGAACAAGGUAAUAUACCUUGAUUCAAUCAGGGGGGACAACAGAUACAAAGAACUCGAGGAAGUACUAAACAGUGCAUUCUUGGAGGUUUGUAAUCAUCAAACUGGAGGGACCAGCCAUUCAGCGCAGCUGUGCCAUGACUUCAAUGUGAUGUGCCACCAGCAGCCAAUGGGUACCCAGCUAUGUGGAUUCUACGCAUGCCGCCACAUGCAAAUCGUCUUCAAUGCGGCGGAAGCAAAAGAUUGCGAGAUAAUAUAUAACAUAUCUAAAAGCAAAUUGGGAAUGCACGAGCUUGCCAAAAUCCGCCAUGAACUUGUUCACUACAUAAAUACAGAAGUUAGAGAGGAAUUUGUCCAAGUAAAAUGA
This 4596-nucleotide ribosomal RNA is filed under the name Triticum aestivum (bread wheat). RNAcentral describes it as "partial small subunit ribosomal RNA". The record is from RNAcentral. Lineage: Eukaryota; Viridiplantae; Streptophyta; Magnoliopsida; Poales; Poaceae.